Molecule: ribosomal RNA, 727 nt
Filed under: uncultured bacterium
Lineage: Bacteria
Description: bacterial SSU rRNA
Rfam family: Bacterial small subunit ribosomal RNA
Source: RNAcentral
AAGGAAGAUUAAUACAAGAUGGCAUCAUGAGUCCGCAUGUUCACACGAUUAAAGGUAUUCCGGUAGACGAUGGGGAUGCGUUCCAUUAGAUAGUAGGCGGGGUAACGGCCCACCUAGUCUUCGAUGGAUAGGGGUUCUGAGAGGAAGGUCCCCCACAUUGGAACUGAGACACGGUCCAAACUCCUACGGGAGGCAGCAGUGAGGAAUAUUGGUCAAUGGGCGAGAGCCUGAACCAGCCAAGUAGCGUGAAGGAUGACUGCCCUAUGGGUUGUAAACUUCUUUUAUAAAGGAAUAAAGUCGGGUACGGAUACCCGUUUGCAUGUACUUUAUGAAUAAGGAUCGGCUAACUCCGUGCCAGCAGCCGCGGUAAUACGGAGGAUCCGAGCGUUAUCCGGAUUUAUUGGGUUUAAAGGGAGCGUAGAUGGAUGUUUAAGUCAGUUGUGAAAGUUUGCGGCUCAACCGUAAAAUUGCAGUUGAUACUGGAUAUCUUGAGUGCAGUUGAGGCAGGCGGAAUUCGUGGUGUAGCGGUGAAAUGCUUAGAUAUCACGAAGAACUCCGAUUGCGAAGGCAGCCUGCUAAGCUGCAACUGACAUUGAGGCUCGAAAGUGUGGGUAUCAAACAGGAUUAGAUACCCUGGUAGUCCACACGGUAAACGAUGAAUACUCGCUGUUUGCGAUAUACUGCAAGCGGCCAAGCGAAAGCGUUAAGUAUUCCACCUGGGGAGUAC